This 305-nucleotide ribosomal RNA is filed under the name uncultured bacterium. Its description in RNAcentral is "bacterial SSU rRNA". It matches the Rfam family "Bacterial small subunit ribosomal RNA", at positions 332 to 655 of the family's 1533-position model. The record is from RNAcentral.
UCGACCUACGGGGGGCAGCAGUGGGGAACAUUGCACAAUGGGGGAAACCCUGAUGCAGCAACGCCGCGUGAGUGAAGAAGGUUUUCGGAUUGUAAAGCUCUGUUAGCAGGGAAGAAGAAAGACGGUACCUGACUAAGAAGCCCCGGCUAACUACGUGCCAGCAGCCGCGGUAAUACGUAGGGGGCAAGCGUUAUCCGGAUUUACUGGGUGUAAAGGGAGCGUAGACGGCUGUGCAAGUCUGAAGUGAAAGCCCAGGGCUCAACCCUGGGACUGCUUUGGAAACUGUGGAGCUAGAGUGCUGGAGG